AUUGAACGCUGGCGGCAUGCCUUACACAUGCAAGUCGAACGGCAGCGGACCUUCGGGUGCCGGCGAGUGGCGAACGGUGAGUAAUAUAUCGGAACGUACCUUUCAGUGGGGGAUAACGUAGCGAAAGUUACGCUAAUACCGCAUAUUCUGUGAGCAGGAAAGCAGGGGAUCGCAAGACCUUGCGCUGAUUGAGCGGCCGAUAUCAGAUUAGCUAGUUGGUGAGGUAAAGGCUCACCAAGGCGACGAUCUGUAGCGGGUCUGAGAGGAUGAUCCGCCACACUGGAACUGAGACACGGUCCAGACUCCUACGGGAGGCAGCAGUGGGGAAUUUUGGACAAUGGGCGCAAGCCUGAUCCAGCCAUGCCGCGUGAGUGAAGAAGGCCUUCGGGUUGUAAAGCUCUUUCGGCCGGGAAGAAAUCGCACGGGUUAAUACCCUGUGUGGAUGACGGUACCGGAAUAAGAAGCACCGGCUAACUACGUG
Molecule: ribosomal RNA, 481 nt
Filed under: uncultured bacterium
Lineage: Bacteria
Description: bacterial SSU rRNA
Rfam family: Bacterial small subunit ribosomal RNA
Source: RNAcentral